UGAAGAAAUAUUUUACAAUUGAUUUGGUAAAUUUGUAUUGUGUCGUGCCUUUUUCCUUUAUAUAAUUGUGACUUUGGUGAGUAUUUUGAAAGAGAGAAAAAUAAAGGAAACAAACACACAGAUAGAGUGUUUGAGGAGAUGCUGAUAGAAGGCAGAGAGGGCCGAGAAUUGGUGAAUUGAUAAUCAUGUGAUUAAUUCUUUUACAGGUUUCAGGUACCGUGGAAUUCUAGUUGCGGCUUAGGUGGAAGAGUUGGUGUUAAGGAUUUAAUAUUUAUAGAGAAAAUUUUCUUGUAUUUUAUUUGAGGAUGUUGAUUUUGUAUCAAUAAAAUGAUUUUUUUUUUGA
Long non-coding RNA from Cornus florida, 343 nucleotides. RefSeq lists it as uncharacterized. The transcript is spliced from 2 exons. The record is from RefSeq and is a predicted model, not a curated record. NCBI's taxonomy places the organism in Eukaryota, Viridiplantae, Streptophyta, Magnoliopsida, Cornales, Cornaceae.